GUUAAUCAGCUAAUUUGAAAGUUCUCUGAGUUGGUAGCUUUAGUUGAACAUAAAUCCUGGCUCAGCGGCUGCAGGUGUGCCUGGACCCCUUCUGGAGCUUCUUUGGACAUUCUGUCUCCUUCCUUCGGAGUUUCUCUCUUGGUGCCCAGGCUUGAGUGCAAUGACACGAUCUCAGCUCACCACAACCUCCGCCUCCUGGGUUCAAGCGAUUCUCCUGCCUCAGCCUCCCAAGUAGCUGGGAUUACAG
RNAcentral lists this long non-coding RNA (247 nucleotides) under Homo sapiens (human). RNAcentral's name for it is "HSALNT0394836". The record is from RNAcentral. Lineage: Eukaryota; Metazoa; Chordata; Mammalia; Primates; Hominidae.